RNAcentral lists this ribosomal RNA (253 nucleotides) under uncultured bacterium. Its description in RNAcentral is "partial 16S ribosomal RNA". It matches the Rfam family "Bacterial small subunit ribosomal RNA", at positions 524 to 776 of the family's 1533-position model. The record is from RNAcentral.
UACGGGGGGGGUAAGCGUUGUUCGGAAUUACUGGGCGUAAAGGGUGCGUAGGCGGCGCGGUAAGUCGGGUGUGAAAUCUCGGAGCUUAACUCCGAAACUGCAUUCGAUACUGCCGUGCUUGAGGACUGGAGAGGAGACUGGAAUUUACGGUGUAGCGGUGAAAUGCGUAGAUAUCGUAAGGAAGACCAGUGGCGAAGGCGGGUCUCUGGACAGUUCCUGACGCUGAGGCACGAAGGCCAGGGGAGCAAACGGG